This 914-nucleotide ribosomal RNA is filed under the name uncultured marine archaeon. RNAcentral describes it as "bacterial SSU rRNA". It matches the Rfam family "Archaeal small subunit ribosomal RNA", at positions 1 to 922 of the family's 1478-position model. The record is from RNAcentral.
UUCCGGUUGAUCCCGCCGGACCUGACUGCUAUCGGAUUGAUACUAAGCCAUGCUAGUCUUUGUAGUAAUACAAGGCAUACGGCUCAGUAACGCGUAGUCAACCUACCCUAUGGACGGGGAUAAUCUCGGGAAACUGAGCAUAAUACCCGGCAGACCACUUAUCCUGGAAUGGUUAGUGGUUAAAAUGAUUCGUCGCCAUAGGAUGGGACUGCGGCCUAUCAGCUUGUUGGUGAGGUAAUGGCCCACCAAGGCGAUUACAGGUACGGGCUCUGAGAGGAGAGGCCCGGAGAUGGGUACUGAGACAAGGACCCAGGCCCUAUGGGGCGCAGCAGGCGAGAAAACUUUGCAAUGUGCGAAAGCACGACAAGGUUAAUCCGAGUGAUUUCUGCUAAAGGAAUCUUUUGUUAGUUCUAAAAAUACUAGUGAAUAAGGGGUGGGCAAGUUCUGGUGUCAGCCGCCGCGGUAAAACCAGCACCUCAAGUGGUCAGGAGGAUUAUUGGGCCUAAAGCAUCCGUAGCCUGUUCUAUAAGUUUGCGGUUAAAUCUAUACGCUCAACGUAUAGGCUGCCGUAAAUACUGUAGAACUAGGGAGUGGGAGAGGUAGACGGUACUCGAUAGGAAGGGGUAAAAUCCUUUGAUCUAUUGAUGACCACCUGUGGCGAAGGCGGUCUACCAGAACACGUUCGACGGUGAGGGAUGAAAGCUGGGGGAGCAAACCGGAUUAGAUACCCGGGUAGUCCCAGCCGUAAACGAUGCAGACUCGAUGAUGCAAUGGCAUAGAGCUAUUGCAGUAUCGCAGGGAAGCCGUUAAGUCUGCCGCCUGGGAAGUACGUACGCAAGUAUGAAACUUAAAGGAAUUGGCGGGGGAGCACCACAAGGGGUGAAGCCUGCGGUUCAAUUGGAUUCAACGCCGGG